RNAcentral lists this ribosomal RNA (254 nucleotides) under uncultured bacterium. Its description in RNAcentral is "partial 16S ribosomal RNA". It matches the Rfam family "Bacterial small subunit ribosomal RNA", at positions 524 to 776 of the family's 1533-position model. The record is from RNAcentral.
UACGUAGGGUGCGAGCGUUGUCCGGAAUUAUUGGGCGUAAAGAGCUCGUAGGCGGUGUGUCGCGUCGGCCGUGAAAACCUGCAGCUUAACUGUGGGCUUGCGGUCGAUACGGGCAUCACUGGAGUUCGGCAGGGGAGACUGGAAUUCCUGGUGUAGCGGUGAAAUGCGCAGAUAUCAGGAGGAACACCGGUGGCGAAGGCGGGUCUCUGGGCCGAUACUGACGCUCAUGUGCGAAAGCGUGGGGAGCAAACAGG